This is a long non-coding RNA of Ctenopharyngodon idella (grass carp), 5644 nucleotides long. RefSeq lists it as uncharacterized. The transcript is spliced from 2 exons. The record is from RefSeq and is a predicted model, not a curated record. NCBI's taxonomy places the organism in Eukaryota, Metazoa, Chordata, Actinopteri, Cypriniformes, Xenocyprididae.
AAUAAAUACAUAGAUGAAUGUCCAAUUAAAUUAUAGUCAUAAUUUUUAUUUUACUGUUAUGUCAUAAUAAAACAUGAGUAAAAACACUUGUCUAUACUACCGUGCUGAACCAAAUGUAUCACUUCAGUAUUAUUGACCACUGGAUUUACAGUUUAACUGGGCUACAUGCUGCCUUCAUGGGACUUAAUUGUAGAUCAGAUCAUGUUACUGACUAUUCAAGUCAUUUUAUCCAUUUGAGCUGAAUUACAUUAAAAAUUACAUUUUCAAUACCCAGAUUCCCCUAAAACAUCUACUUGCACAAACUUUGAUCAUAUUUAAAAUAAAUAACAAAGUAAUGAUAAACCACAACUAAUAGAUAAAAGCUAUUGCAGCCACAAUAACAAAUUAUAACAAAGAUAAAUUAUUAAUUCAGGGUCUUAGGCCUCGUUCAUUCUUUUGUCACGUGAUAGCAGCAUAGGCUAGUGCAGGAAACAGACAGAUAUGACUGUUUCAUCAGCAUUUAUUUUGGAAUUAUCAUUUAAUUAUCACAAACAAACAAACAACAACAAAAAAAACUGUCUAUCACAUAUUCACAAAUUCAAAGUGCAAGAAAUGAGAUCAGGAACGCGUCAUGUACUCACUUUAAGAGUAAAAGGAGUAAAACCAAACUAACGUUAUCUGAAUGUAUGCUGUCACGUCACGUCACGUGAACGAAAGAGACUCGGUGGUGAACUAAUCAACGUUAUUCACGAGAUAUUAAAUAAAAUAGUUAAAAACAAUGAACUAAUCUUUCUUGAUCUACUGGCCGUAGCAAAGUAUCCUAAGAAAAAUAUAAACAGCGCGAACAUAGCAAAUUACUAUGUCACGGUCACUUACAAUCAUCAUUCAGCCCAUUUCUCUACACAAACAUUAAUAUUUAAAAAAAUUCCUGAAAAUCCAGAGAUAGCAAAAGUUGAAAUGACUAAAUAACUUAUCUUCAAAUAGCCUUAUCUAUGUGUUUGCUAUUAUCACUAACUUUAAUAUCACAUAAAUACUCCAAUCAAAUAUAACGAAGCAAUCGCCAACAAAAAGACAUUGUUUAAAUUCAUUAUUUUUUAUGAAAUCUUACCUUGACUUUACUUUGUGCAGUUUUCCACCGUCAAUUCUCCAGCCGAUCCUCUCCACUGUUCCGUCUUUUGGGCGCCUUUUCCGCGCGCCUACUUUUAAAUUUAAAGGGCCGGAAAUAGGAAAAUUCGAACCAGUUUGAACUUUGAUUAAAAAAAUAUCUUAUCUCUAACAAAGUUAGCUGAAGCCUAUAACAUGAUUAAAAAAAAAAAAAAAAAAAAAAUGGCUUGAAAAGUUAAUAAUAUCAAAAUAACAUACAAUGUUCUCAUUGCAGUUUGUGCUGAUUUGUGCUGAUUUACCCAUUCAUAAUUUAAUUCAUCAAUUAAUGUUAUGACAGGCUAUUUUAUUCAUAAAUUAAAUAUUUUUAUUAAUGUUUGUUUUGUAAUGUUUUAUUUAUUUAUUAGUUUAUUCAUUCAUUUAUUUACUUAUUACAAUAUCAGGGUCACUUAAAGCAGUUUAUAAAAUGACACUGCCUGCAUACAUGACACUGCCUGCUUACAUUGUUAAUCCUGCAUUUCAUUCAACCAAUCAUAUUUGAGUGACAAGUUUACAGUUUAUGUCAAGUUUAUGCAUCAACCAGGGUUUUGUGCUGGUUAUCAUAUCCUGCUUUAAGGAUAAUGGGUUGGGUUAGGUUUAGGGGUAGCGUUAGGACUAACUUGCCCUUGUGAUCUUGUUACAAGAAAACAUGUGGACAUGUGAAAACAUGUGGACAGAGGAAUAUGUCCUGCUUGAAACCAUGGCAAAGAUUUUAACAUACAGCAGCUCAAAAUAUCUCUCUACCAAACAUUAAAAUGUAUGUUCCAAGACCAUAAAAACAGUUCACUAAUUUUAACUAUGUUGUCACGUUUCUUAAUCAGACACUCUACUUACAGUACAUGUACAGCAAAACUGACUGUAAAAGCUGUAAUAGUGCACGUCUGUGUUUCUGCUCUACAGUACACACACGCACACACACACACACAUUCUUGGACUGUCCAUAGGCGUAUGGUUUUUACACAAUACAGAGUGUAUAUUGUAUAUCCCCCUACCCUAGCCCUAAACCUACCCACCACACAAAACUUUCUGCAUGUUUUGAAUUUAAAAAAAAAAAAAAGUUUACUAUGUUUUUAAGCCAUUUGGUUUACGAUGACAAAGGAAGUGUCCUCAUAAACCAUGUUUACAUUGUAAUGCCUAUGUCAUUAUAGACAUUUGUGUCCUCAUAAACCACAUAUACCCGUACACACAAACACACACACACACACACACCAAUAAAGUUAUGUUAAAAAAAAAUAACAGGGCAGGCCGAUCCACAACUGAUAUAGCCGCCUUCUCCAGAUUAGCCUGUACAAUUAACAGUGUUGCAUCCUAUAUCAAAUUUCCUGAAAAAUAUUAAUGCUAUAUUUUCAGUUUCAUUUUUAGCUAUACAUCUAAAUUAACCCGUUUUCAAAGGUGCUCCUUCCAAAGCCAGAAGUGGCCUUGUUUUUUUUAUGAUAUUUAAAGCAUAUUUUCUGUGUCAACUGUACCGUAUAUUUACCAAAAGUGGCCCUAAUUGUUAUUAACUAUUAACUUGCUUACUGUUCUAUUUUGAGCUUACACCCUGGUUGGCCAGUGCUGACUGUGCCGUACAUUGGUCAAAUGUGGUCCAAAGUUGGAGUAAUGUAUUUGGGCCAUAUAUGUUAUGCCAUGUGUGGGCCACUUUAGGUUCACAUUCAGAAUCGCCAGUGAUUACUGUCCCAUAAAUUUGCCAAAACUGGCCCAGAUAUGUUUUAAGAUAACUGGGCCACAUUUGCUGCAUUAUAUGUGGGCCAGUUUAGGCUUAAACACUGAUUAGUCAGUGCUGACUGUGCCGUACAUUUGCCAAAUGUGGUCCAAAGCUGGAGUAAUGUAUUUGGGCCAUGUUUGUUAUGCCAUGUGUGGGCCACUUUAGGUUCACAUUCAGAUUUUCCAGUCGUUACUGUCCCUCAUCUUUGCCAAAACUGGCCCAGAUAUGUUUUAAGAUAACUGGGCCACAUUUGCUGCAUUAUAUGUGGGCCAGUUUAGGCUCACACCCUGGUUAGCCAGUGCUGACUGUGCCGUACAUUUGCCAAAUGUGGUCCAAAGUUGGAGUAAUGUAUUCGGGCCAUAUUUGCUAUGCUGUGUGUGGGCCACUUUAGGUUCACAUUCAGAAUCGCCAGUGAUUACUGUCCCAUAAGUUUGCCAAAACUGGCCCAGAUAUGUUUUAAGAUAACUGGGCCACAUUUGCUGCAUUUUAUUUGGGCCAGUUUAGACUCACACCCUGGUUAGCCAGUGCUGACUGUGCCGUACAUUGGCCAAAUGUGGUCCAAAGUUGAAGUAAUGUAUUCGGGCCAUAUUUGUUAUGCCAUGUGUUGGCCACUUUAGGUUCACAUUCAGAAUCGCCAGUGAUUACUGUCCCAUAAGUUUGCCAAAACUGGCCCAGAUAUGUUUUAAGAUAACUGGGCUACAUUUGCUGCAUUAUAUGUGGGCCAGUUUAGGCUCACACCCUGGUUAGCCAGUGGUGACUGUGCUGUACAUUUGCCAAAUGUGGUCCAAAGUUGGAGUAAUGUAUCCGGGCCAUAUUUACUAUGCUGUGUGUGGGCCACUUUAGGUUCACAUAAGAAGGCCUGCAGUGCCGCAUCAUUGCUUGAAGUGGCCCACAUCCGUUUGCUAUCUCGGGCUGGUAUGGAAAAAAAAACAAAAAGCAAGCUGCAGAAGAAUUAUCAGCUGCAAUGGUCAAUGUUUCUAAUUGGUAAAUAAAUUCAUGUUUACAUCUUAAUAUUAUUAAGACUGUAUGUAUGUUUUUAUCAGAGUCUGCAAAUAGAGAUCCAUAUCCAUAUGUUAUAGUAGCAGGAAGAAAAUUGUCAGUUGUCCAUGAGUAUAAAUACUUAUGCUUUAUACGUAAUAUAAAGCAUAAUAAUUGAUUCACAACUUACUUUUAAAAAACAAGUUUAAAAAGUUGGGAAUAAAAUUCAGUUAUCUGGUAAAUUUUAAACACAUCAGAAAUAAUUUAAAAACUGAGGCCUCAAAGUUAUAUAUUAAUGCCAUGAUCUUUUCACAUAUGAAUUACUGCCUUACCAGCUAGACGCAGACAGGUAGGACUACAUUACAAUAAAUAGAAAGACUCUAUAAGCAGGCUUUGAAAAUAUUGGAUAAAAGUUAUAAUUUAUAUCAUCAUUGUAACAAUUUAACUAAAUAUGAUUUUUUUUUUUUUUUUUUUUUUUUUAAAUUGAGAAAAUAUGAUUAAAUUUGCAGAUAUCUUAUAUACUUGUGUAUAAAUUUUUGAUUGUUAUGGCCCCACUUCCACUUAAUGAGUUUAUUAGACAAAAUCAUAACUCAUCUACAAGAGCAACUACUAGAGUGGAUUGUAUAAUACCACAUAGAAAAAAUGCUUUUGGGUAGUCAGCCUUUUCUUAUAGAGCUGCACAUACCUGGAAUACUGUACCCACACAAUUAAGAAAUAUUACAUAUUUUACUUAAUUUUCUGCAUGGAUAAAACAGUGGUUAUUGGAUAAUAAAUCAUGUCUUCAUAAUUUGGAGUAGUGGCUUGCUUCUGUCUCCUUAUAUUUAAAGUCAUUUUGUGUUAAUAUGCUCUGAUUAUGGCGAUGUUUGCUGGAAUAUGUUAUAUGUUUUUUCUUUUUCUUUUUUUUUUUUUUUUUUAGGUUUUAUGGACUUGUGGACUUUUCAUUACCAUUAACCUGCCAGGGACUACAGAUGAAAAUAAGCCUGUACGGCUAAAUCUGCCACAUUUACAUGAUGAACUUGAGUGCUCAUGCUAAUUAAUGUGCAUUGGCCAUUUUAAAAUAAAAUAAAGAAUAAAGAAUUUUUGCAAGCAGUGGUAUCAGGAUGUGUGGUUCACCUCCACAAUCAAAUAGAUUGGGAACAAAAUAGACUGGGACAGAGGAACUCAGAAGGGUUAUUUUUAUUAUAAUUAUAAGUAAAUACAUUGAUUCAAUUGUUGAAUCGGUUUUGACCAAUGCAUAUUAUCAAUAAAAAUGGACUAUAGUUUGGAGAAAUUAAAAAAUUAGUUGUGAGAAACUAUAAAAGUAAUAGCAAUGUAGUCAAGACACGUUUUUUUAUAUAGCGCUAUGCAUAUAUAGCUGUAUACAAUAUAGAUUGUUUCAAAGCAGCUUUACAGUGAUAAUCAGGGAAAUAACAAUUCAAUUCAAUGAUGCAAACAGAAUUCAACUGCUGUAAAGCAGCUCUAAAGAGACAUUAGUAAACAGCCAUUAUUCAGCUGAAAUCAGUUCAGUGUUGAUUCAUUUGGAUUCAAUAACUGUGUAAAGUACAUCAAUUAUGAAAUGAGUAGCAGCUCUGCAGAAAACAGUGAUAUCAAUGCAAUGAUCUAAUUCUGCAGUGAUCCAGUAGAUGGCAAUACUGAAUAGAUUCAGAGCAGCAAAUGAUUCUGGCCACUCUGAAUCUAUCCAAUAUUGCCAUCUGCUGGAUCAUUGUAGAACUACUGGGGGACACAUUAAUUAUUCAGCAAUAUUAGCUGAGACAAAAAAAAAAAAAAAAAGAUAUUAUGUUUAAAUCAAUCAUGCACAUCACAUUAUAUAUAUAUAUAUAUAUAUAUAUAUAUAUAUAUAUA